This 253-nucleotide ribosomal RNA is filed under the name uncultured bacterium. Its description in RNAcentral is "partial 16S ribosomal RNA". It matches the Rfam family "Bacterial small subunit ribosomal RNA", at positions 524 to 776 of the family's 1533-position model. The record is from RNAcentral.
UACGUAGGGUGCAAGCGUUAAUCGGAAUUACUGGGCGUAAAGCGUGCGCAGGCGGUUUUGUAAGUCUGACGUGAAAUCCCCGGGCUCAACCUGGGAAUUGCGUUGGAGACUGCAAGGUUAGAAUCUGGCAGAGGGGGGUAGAAUUCCACGUGUAGCAGUGAAAUGCGUAGAGAUGUGGAGGAACACCGAUGGCGAAGGCAGCCCCCUGGGUCAAGAUUGACGCUCAUGCACGAAAGCGUGGGGAGCAAACAGG